UGAAAGUGUGGAGAGGAAGGGAAAGGGAAAGGGAAGGGGAAGGGGAAGGAUAAUUUAUAGAAUUUCAGAACCGUUGGAUUCACGCAAAGUGGUUUAGUGAAGAGAGAGGAGGAAAAGAUUCUUGGCAUGAAAAAAGAGGGAGGAAAAUUUGCUCCAUCGAAGUGGCGGCACGACACUGACAGAGCUCUCCCCGAGGUGGCAGAGCUCAGCUGGCAUGCUGUAGCCUAGCUUGUAGGUGCACAAGCCUGCUGUCGUGCGCGCAGGGGCUAGCCUGCGGGCACACAGGUCCCAAGCACACAUGGCCUAUCUGCACAGGCUUGCAGCGCGAACAGCGUGCGCACAGUGUAGGGCAUCAGUUCAUAUGCGAAGUGACGUACGGACGGCCCGCCUGUACACAACAGGAUGCGCGCAUAGGUCCUGACCUCGUACUAUGCGCGCGGAGGGGACGUG
This 450-nucleotide long non-coding RNA is filed under the name Carica papaya (papaya). Its description in RNAcentral is "long non-coding RNA (CPAP_LNC010477)". Lineage: Eukaryota; Viridiplantae; Streptophyta; Magnoliopsida; Brassicales; Caricaceae. The record is from RNAcentral.